This 315-nucleotide long non-coding RNA is filed under the name Capsicum annuum. RNAcentral's name for it is "long non-coding RNA (CANN_LNC002804)". The record is from RNAcentral. Lineage: Eukaryota; Viridiplantae; Streptophyta; Magnoliopsida; Solanales; Solanaceae.
GCCUCCGGGGUGCUUUGCGAUAAGAAUGUGUCGCCAAGGCUUAAAGGUAAGUUCUACAGAGUGGUGAGUGGUGGUUAGACAAAAAUAAUUGUAUGGGACAGAGUGUUGACCAGUCAAGACGCCCACAUUCAGAAGAUGAAGGUAGCUCCACAUUCAGAAGAUGAAGGUAGCUCCACAUUCAGAAGAUGAAGGUAGCUAGCAGUUAUGAGGAUGCUCAAAUUGGUAUAUUAGGAGAGAUGAUUAGGAAUGACGUUAUUUGGGGCAAUGUUUGAGUGGCCUCCGUGGCGGACAAAUUGAAGAAACGAGGCUAAUGUG